UACGUAGGGUGCGAGCGUUGCCCGGAUUUACUGGGCGUAAAGGGCGCGUAGGCGGCGUGACAAGUCACUUGUGAAAUCUCCGGGCUUAACCCGGAGCGGCCAAGUGAUACUGUCGUGCUAGAGUGCGGAAGGGGCUACUGGAAUUCUCGGUGUAGCAGUGAAAUGCGUAGAUAUCGAGAGGAACACCAGUGGCGAAGGCGGGUCUCUGGACGAUUCCUGACGCUGAGGCACGAAAGCCAGGGGAGCAAACGGG
Molecule: ribosomal RNA, 253 nt
Filed under: uncultured bacterium
Lineage: Bacteria
Description: partial 16S ribosomal RNA
Rfam family: Bacterial small subunit ribosomal RNA
Source: RNAcentral